This is a long non-coding RNA of Piliocolobus tephrosceles (Ugandan red Colobus), 1534 nucleotides long. RefSeq lists it as uncharacterized. NCBI's taxonomy places the organism in Eukaryota, Metazoa, Chordata, Mammalia, Primates, Cercopithecidae. The transcript has 5 exons. The record is from RefSeq and is a predicted model, not a curated record.
CCUCUCCCCCCGCCGCGGCGCCGCCUCUUGUGAGCUGCAUGUUUGGGAAAGAGAGAACAUAGGGAAGGCCUACCAUACACUUGACCACCUCUGCUCAGAAGUGACCCACAUCACCUCAUUCAUGUUCUGGUGUCCAAGAAGGAGGCAAGAAAAGAAGAGUAAUGAGCACAAAGAAGCCCUGGCGGAAGGAUGCCUUGGAGGAGCCCGUGUUAUGUCAAAUGAUUGUCUGCAACACUGAGUGUCCCCAGUCAUGGAGGGUACCUGAACACCAGAGCUAAAGGAGCCUAUUGAAACAAUCACUACAUGGCAGCCUGUGGAACAUGCAGCUGGGCAGGAGAGAUGGAGAACAGAAGCAAUCAGGCACAGAUUACAUAUAUCAAAUUCAACAAAGUUCAGAUAUAUGAGGGAACUUCAAAAGUUCAUUAAAAAUGGAAUUAGAAGAUAAAAAUAAAAAGUGGAAAGUAUUUCUCAACAUAAGUUCCAUCGAGUUCAAGACACUUUGAACCCAAGAAGACCUUCUACUGACGAUCACAUUCAAACUCUAAAUGUCUAGUGACUAAGAGACUAAUCACAUGGGGCUGCUUAGAUUUAUCAAGGAGGACAGGAGUGCCAAAACUCUAAGUUGUUUUUUGUAGGAUGUAAGAACAAAGGCAUCCCAUGUGUCUCGCGAAAUGAGUGAAAGUCAUGACCCAGUUCUUCCUCCUACUUUAAAAAAAUGUGACUGAAGAGAAAGCCAGAUAUGUUCCAGGACAGACCAGCUGACUAACUCUUACUGUCAACAUACACUGUGCAAUUCCAAGACACAAGGGCAACUGAUAAAGAAGAUUAGCUUGGUUUUCCAGAAAUAAGUUCUGUUCUGUUCAAUCUACUUGCUCAAUCUCCAUUCUCUCAUUCAUGUGGAAUAACGAGAUCUGCAAUAAACACCACCAGGCAAGUCUCUGAGGAUUACUGAGUUAUUUCAGAGAUUUUCUAAUCUUCCACUCUGAACUUUUAUAAAAUGAUUAUCAGAAACUGAUUCAGCAGUUGGAAGAAUAAGAAAUAGAUUCUAUUGUAAUCAUUUCCUGCAAGUAAUAAUUUCUCACACAUUAUCAUACCAAAGUCUCUGUUCUUCUUUAAGUAGAGAAAGUCAUUGAGGAAGUAGAUCACUUCUAAAAAAUUAAACUUGUCUCUGGGUCUGUAUAAUAUAUUAUAACGUUACUGAAUGAUUGCUCUUGGAAUUUCCAAUAUUUUGUGUCCUUAACUUGAAUUUUCCCUAUAGGUUGAAAAGUCAGGUUCUGGAAUUGUCCUGUCUGGAUUAAAAUACUGGUUCCAUCACUGAGAAGCUGUGUGACCUGGGGAAAAUUACUUAAUCUCUCUGCGUUUCAGUUUUCUGAUCUGUAAAAUGAAGUCAGUGAUGGUAAGAAAAUGAGAAAAAUGCAUGCAAACUUAGCAUACCAUUAGAAUGAUGAAUGCUAACAAUUAUCAUCAUGUCAGGGCCUCUACAUUAGUUUAGCAUUUACUUUCCUCUGACUAUCUGUACUUUGUUGAAUAAAAA